RNAcentral lists this long non-coding RNA (1021 nucleotides) under Cricetulus griseus (Chinese hamster). RNAcentral's name for it is "lncRNA (ENSCGRG00015035297.1)". The record is from RNAcentral. Lineage: Eukaryota; Metazoa; Chordata; Mammalia; Rodentia; Cricetidae.
CUAGAUUUGGUCCCCAGCACAAGAACAAAGCAACCAUCCAAAUAAUGGGUUGGAAUCUCUCUCUUGGGAGCAAGGAGGCUGCCUCUAGAUAAAGCCCAAUAAACCGCCACAAAGUUACAGGACUGAAAAUGUCUCCCAUACCUAAUCAUCACUGUUGUACUCAAGAGCCUUUUGUCCAUGGAGCCAGCCAUCUGAACACACCCACACUCUCAUACCCACCAGUCCUUGGAACUAGCUCCAUACAACCACAUCCCCUCUGAGGGAGUUGACAGCAGUUCUGAAUAUCCCCUGUUGUACAUUUUAUUGUUGCCUUCCUUUUAUGGAAGUCACAGAGAUGAGCAGCUGUACUAGAAGACAUCAGGAUAUGGACGAAGGCCAUGGGAUUGUGGGCAUGGGCUCUUUCUCCUGCUCUGGAGAUCCCUGGCCAUCCUCUGAGCCUUGGCUAUCUGCUUUUUAAAGCCUCUGCCACCAGUAAGCCCUUCUUAAAGCCCAUUCAUAGUGGGUUCCAGUGCAGGGAUUCUGUGGGGAGUUUGCCUUGCAGAGAUGGUGUUUAUAAUUAGCACUUAGAGAAAUCCAUUUGGGAACUCAACGAACAGAUCUGCACAGACAUCAGUUGUGCUGCUCACUGCUGACCUGGAUUUUUACACGGAAUUCAGAAUCUCAUAUCUCAGGCUGGACUCAAGCUUGCUAUCUAGCAGAAGAUGACUUUAAACUUUUGGUCUUCUCGGGGUGGCGGUGGAGCACACCUUUAAUCCCAGCACUCGGGAGGCAGAGGCAGGAGAAUCUGUAAGUUCAAGACCAGCCUGGUCUACAAAACUGGUUCCAGGUCAGCUAGGGCUAUGCAGAGAAACGCUGUCUUAAAAAACAAAAACAAAACAAAACAAAACAAAAAACCAAGUGAGCUUCUGAUCCUCUUGACUCUCCCUGCAGGGAGCAGGGAAUACAUGCAGGGACCGGGACCCCCCCCCCCGCCCCCAUCUAGUUUAUGUGGUUCUGGGGACCCAACCCAGGUCUUCAUGAA